CACGGGGGGAGCAAGCGUUGUUCGGAAUCACUGGGCGUAAAGGGCGUGUAGGCGGUCAAGUAAGUGGAAUGUGAAAGCCCCCGGCUUACCCGGGGAUCUGCAUCCCAAACUGCUUGGCUUGAGUACGGGAGAGGAUGGAGGAAUUCCUGGUGUAGCGGUGAAAUGCGUAGAUAUCAGGAGGAACACCGGUGGCGAAGGCGGCUCACUGGCCCGAUACUGACGCUGAGGCACGAAAGCGUGGGGAGCAAACAGG
RNAcentral lists this ribosomal RNA (253 nucleotides) under uncultured bacterium. RNAcentral describes it as "partial 16S ribosomal RNA". It matches the Rfam family "Bacterial small subunit ribosomal RNA", at positions 524 to 776 of the family's 1533-position model. The record is from RNAcentral.